GUUGAAACAGCGGUUCCCGUACGAUCACCGAAGUUAAGCAACGUAGAGUCUGGUCAGUACCUGGAUGGGUAAAAAUACGGGAAUAGCAGGUUCUG
Non-coding RNA from Acanthosepion pharaonis, 95 nucleotides. Lineage: Eukaryota; Metazoa; Mollusca; Cephalopoda; Sepiida; Sepiidae. The record is from the annotation of a GenBank genome assembly.